This is a long non-coding RNA of Sinocyclocheilus rhinocerous, 102 nucleotides long. RefSeq lists it as uncharacterized. NCBI's taxonomy places the organism in Eukaryota, Metazoa, Chordata, Actinopteri, Cypriniformes, Cyprinidae. The transcript has 3 exons. The record is from RefSeq and is a predicted model, not a curated record.
AAAGACAUGAACAUCUUGGAUGACAUGGGGGAUAAAACAAGAAGAGAGGGAACCAAAUUGCCAUUGCCAUGCAGAUCAAAUGGUUUAAGGAGACAGACUGUG